UCCGAUUUUAAUAUCGGCAGUCCCAUUAGAGUGCCCAACUGAAUGUAGCAACUAAUGGCAAGGGUUGCGCUCGUUGCGGGACUUAACCCAACAUCUCACGGCACGAGCUGACGACAGCCAUGCAGCACCUGUGUUACGGUUCCCUUUCGGGCACUCUCACAUCUCUGCGAGAUUCCGUACAUGUCAAGGGUAGGUAAGGUUCUUCGCGUUGCGUCGAAUUAAACCACAUGCUCCACCGCUUGUGCGGGCCCCCGUCAAUUCCUUUGAGUUUCAACCUUGCGGUCGUACUCCCCAGGCGGGGUACUUCCUGCGUUAGCGCCGGCACCCAGAGGGUCGCUCCCCCAGGCACCUAGUACCCAUCGUUCACGGCGUGGACUAC
This 379-nucleotide unclassified non-coding RNA is filed under the name uncultured bacterium. RNAcentral's name for it is "contains 16S-23S intergenic spacer region". The record is from RNAcentral.